AUUCAUGGAACAAACCCUCCCCAAGAAUCUCAAAUCCAUAUGCCCAACUUCGACGCCUUCACCUUCCAAGAUCUCCGAACACCUAACAUCAUUAAAUUUCUGCGAUUGAGCUGCAAAUUGAACCAAUCAGACGAAUUUAGAUGAGGUUAGUGCUAAGAAAUUUGAAUUUUGUCAUGGAAAAUUCUAGAAUAAAAGCUGACAUUCCAAAUCAUUGGUGGCGAAACUUGAACUAUUCGAGUUCUUCUUGAUGUAUGUCAUCCUUACUGUGAUCUUUGUUGAAGAAUUGAUUUUCCAUGUAAUGGUGAUGUGUCCGAUUGAACUGUUCUAUUUGGCUUGUAGAUUUGUCCCAUUUUUAAUUCUAAACCAUUUGAGCCGAGUGGGUCGAAGUACAACAGAGUCAUUUGGUAAGAUUUAUUGGUCCGCUUGGUCGAUUCGUUCAAGUAUAACACAGUGAGCAGUCGAUUAGUCGAGGCUCUUCAAUACGAUGGAGCACAAUUGCUACAGUUGGUCUGAUUCGUUCAAGGUCAGGACGAUGAGUGGUCGAUUGGACGAGGCGAGCGAGUCGAACUACAACAAAGUCGUUCGGUUGCAGGCGGUGAUGGUACGGUUGGUUGGGUAUUGGAAUGUCUUGUAGAACCUAACAAAGAGAGUCGAAAUCCAAUUUCUCCCAUAGGAAUAAUUCCACUUUGUAUAGAAAAUGACCUAUCUAGGAGUUUUGGCUGGGGUGGUUCUUUUCCUUUCGCAUGGAAAUCAGCCAUUAAAAAAACACUCAACAAAGCUACUACUGGUCAAAUUUGUCAUUUGGAUAGGAACAUAGUUUUGGUCAAGGUAGUGCCUACAUGUGCUAUGUUUUAUUUUAUGUUUAGGUUUGAUAGAUUCUCUCUACACUUAUUUACGGUAGAAGGCUGAUAUGAAUUUCGAUGACGCAAUUGACAAAGUUCUAUUGUCAAUCCCUGGAGAAGUUGUGGAUCCGCCUCACUCUCUGAAGCAUACAGAAGAGUGUGCUCUUGAUGAGGUUGAAAAUUUACAAUAUUAUUUUUCUGUUUACUUAACUUUAUUGUAUGAUUCUUACCUGUAUAAAGUAAUUACUAAUCUGAGCCAUUAUAUGUGUCAUGAAUAAAAAGGAUGUAUUCGUUAAAUCGAGAUGAAUUAUAAAUAAGAGAAAAGUUGAUUAAAUUUUA
Long non-coding RNA from Cannabis sativa, 1181 nucleotides. RefSeq lists it as uncharacterized. The record is from RefSeq and is a predicted model, not a curated record. Lineage: Eukaryota; Viridiplantae; Streptophyta; Magnoliopsida; Rosales; Cannabaceae. The transcript is spliced from 4 exons.